UACGUGGGAUCCGAGCGUUGUCCGGAUUUACUGGGUGUAAAGGGUGCGCAGGCGGACUGGUAAGUCAGAGGUGAAAUCUCGUCGCUUAACGACGAAACUGCCUUUGAUACUAUCAGUCUUGAAUCCGGUAGAGAUCUGUGGAAUUCCGAGUGUAGCAGUGAAAUGUGUAGAUAUUCGGAAGAACACCAGUGGCGAAGGCAGCAGAUUGGGCCGGUAUUGACGCUCAGGCACGAAAGCAUGGGGAUCAAACAGG
This 253-nucleotide ribosomal RNA is filed under the name uncultured bacterium. RNAcentral's name for it is "partial 16S ribosomal RNA". It matches the Rfam family "Bacterial small subunit ribosomal RNA", at positions 524 to 776 of the family's 1533-position model. The record is from RNAcentral.